GACGAACUGUGCAAACGUUAUUCGGAAUCACUGGGCUUGAAGAGUGCGUAGGCGGUUUCGUAAGUAGGGUGUGAAAGCCCCCAGCUCAACUGGGGAACUGCGUCCUAAACGGCGAGGCUGGAGUGAGGUAGGGGUGUGUGGAACUUCCGGUGGAGCGGUGAAAUGUGUUGAUAUCGGAAGGAACGCCGGUGGCGAAAGCGACACACUGGGCCUUGUCUGACGCUGAGGCACGAAAGCCAGGGGAGCAAACGGG
RNAcentral lists this ribosomal RNA (253 nucleotides) under uncultured bacterium. Its description in RNAcentral is "partial 16S ribosomal RNA". It matches the Rfam family "Bacterial small subunit ribosomal RNA", at positions 524 to 776 of the family's 1533-position model. The record is from RNAcentral.